CGUGUAGGCGGGAAUACAAGUCAGAUGUGAAAUACUGUGGCUCAACCACAGAACGGCAUCUGAAACUGUAAUUCUUGAGUACUGGAGAGGAAAGCGGAAUUCCUAGUGUAGCGGUGAAAUGCGUAGAUAUUAGGAGGAACACCGGUGGCGAAGGCGGCUUUCUGGACAGUAACUGACGCUGAGACGCGAAAGCGUGGGGAGCAAACAGGAUUAGAUACCCUGGUAGUCC
This 229-nucleotide ribosomal RNA is filed under the name uncultured bacterium. Its description in RNAcentral is "partial 16S ribosomal RNA". It matches the Rfam family "Bacterial small subunit ribosomal RNA", at positions 568 to 796 of the family's 1533-position model. The record is from RNAcentral.